AGGUUCGCAUAAGAAAAUAAUUUAUGCUGCCGCACUAAGGAUUUUUUACAUCUACAAGGCUCGUAGGGAGGCUAAGAGGAAAGAUAAGAAAGCCGGCUGCAGUCAUUCUGCUCCCUUUUUUUGUCUUCCACGUCGCUUACCUCUCACUCAGCGAGCGUUUUCAGUACGCGUACCACAUGAUCGUGAGCUUCAGUUUUGGAAUUACGAGCUCGAUAUUAUGGAUUCUUUGGGGCUGUUAUAUGAUUUACCAAUAUAAAACAAACUACGCCUAUAAAUGCCUUUUGCCCAUUUUCGCUACAGGAUUAUUGUCGCUCUUAGAAGUUUGGGAUUUCCCUCCUUUCUUUUUUUUGAUCGAUGCACACUCACUAUGGCACUUGGGAACUGUUUUCGUUCAGCCCUUAUGGUAUGAUUUUUUAGUCGAAGAUGCUAUAUACAAUAAAUGCAAUUAAAGCUUAACCG
Molecule: long non-coding RNA, 459 nt
Organism: Zophobas morio
Lineage: Eukaryota; Metazoa; Arthropoda; Insecta; Coleoptera; Tenebrionidae
Exons: 4
Source: RefSeq, a predicted model, not a curated record